This 430-nucleotide ribosomal RNA is filed under the name Pseudomonadota bacterium. Its description in RNAcentral is "Proteobacteria bacterium partial 16S ribosomal RNA". It matches the Rfam family "Bacterial small subunit ribosomal RNA", at positions 355 to 776 of the family's 1533-position model. The record is from RNAcentral. Lineage: Bacteria; Pseudomonadati; Pseudomonadota.
UGGGGAAUAUUGGACAAUGGGCGAAAGCCUGAUCCAGCCAUGCCGCGUGUGUGAAGAAGGCCUUUUGGUUGUAAAGCACUUUAAGCGAGGAGGAGGCUACUAGUACUAAUACUACUGGAUAGUGGACGUUACUCGCAGAAUAAGCACCGGCUAACUCUGUGCCAGCAGCCACGGUAAUACAGAGGGUGCGAGCGUUAAUCGGAUUUACUGGGCGUAAAGCGUGCGUAGGCGGCUGAUUAAGUCGGAUGUGAAAUCCCUGAGCUUAACUUAGGAAUUGCAUUCGAUACUGGUCAGCUAGAGUAUGGGAGAGGAUGGUAGAAUUCCAGGUGUAGCGGUGAAAUGCGUAGAGAUCUGGAGGAAUACCGAUGGCGAAGGCAGCCAUCUGGCCUAAUACUGACGCUGAGGUACGAAAGCAUGGGGAGCAAACAGG